RNAcentral lists this ribosomal RNA (268 nucleotides) under uncultured bacterium. RNAcentral describes it as "partial 16S ribosomal RNA". It matches the Rfam family "Bacterial small subunit ribosomal RNA", at positions 337 to 622 of the family's 1533-position model. The record is from RNAcentral.
UCCUACGGGAGGCAGCAGUGGGGAAUAUUGCACAAUGGGGGGAACCCUGAUGCAGCGACGCCGCGUGAGUGAAGAAGUAUUUCGGUAUGUAAAGCUCUAUCGGCAGGGAAGAAAAUGACGGUACCUGACUAAGAAGCCCCGGCUAACUACGUGCCAGCAGCCGCGGUAAUACGUAGGGGGCAAGCGUUAUCCGGAUUUACUGGGUGUAAAGGGAGCGCAGACGGCUGCGCAAGUCUGGAGUGAAAGGCGGGGGCCCAACCCCCGGACU